UCUCCAUCUCUCCAUUUCACAAUCUCUCCAUCUCUCCAUUUCACAAUCUCUCCGUCUCUCCAUCUCUCCAUU
This is a non-coding RNA of Pangasianodon gigas (Mekong giant catfish), 72 nucleotides long. The record is from the annotation of a GenBank genome assembly. NCBI's taxonomy places the organism in Eukaryota, Metazoa, Chordata, Actinopteri, Siluriformes, Pangasiidae.